RNAcentral lists this unclassified non-coding RNA (529 nucleotides) under Hevea brasiliensis (rubber tree). The record is from RNAcentral. Lineage: Eukaryota; Viridiplantae; Streptophyta; Magnoliopsida; Malpighiales; Euphorbiaceae.
UAAGAAUAUUGAAAUAUGGAAAAUGAAAAAAUUAAUCAAAGCCCUACAAUCUGCCAGAGGAAAUGGCACCAGCAUGAUCUCUCUUAUCAUACCCCCUGGUGAUCAGAUAUCUCGUAUUACCAAGAUGCUGGCAGAAGAAUAUGGUACUGCAUCAAAUAUUAAGAGCAGAGUAAACCGUCAGUCUGUGCUUGGUGCAAUAACGUCUGCUCAGCAGAGGCUUAAACUUUAUAACAAAGUUCCUCCUAAUGGUUUGCUGCUUUACACUGGAACUAUAGUGACGGAUGAUGGAAAGGAAAAGAAGGUCACCUUUGAUCUUACGCCUUUUAAACCCAUAAAUGCGUCUCUAUACUUAUGUGACAACAAAUUUCAUACUGAACCUCUUGGUGAAUUGUUGGAAUCUGAUGAGAAGUUUGGUUUCAUUGUCAUGGAUGGUAAUGGGACCCUUUUUGGGACCUUGAGUGGCAACACCCGAGAAGUUCUUCAUAAGUUCACUGUUGAUCUCCCAAAGAAGCAUGGAAGAGGAGGUCAA